This is a long non-coding RNA of Haemorhous mexicanus (house finch), 600 nucleotides long. RefSeq lists it as uncharacterized. NCBI's taxonomy places the organism in Eukaryota, Metazoa, Chordata, Aves, Passeriformes, Fringillidae. The record is from RefSeq and is a predicted model, not a curated record. The transcript is spliced from 2 exons.
GUGGGCAGUGCCCAGGGAGGGGACAGCUGUGCCCUGUCACCCACUGCACCCAGGCCCUGGGCUGCAGCUGCUUUGGUCGUGGCUCAGAGCUGCUCCUGUUACCACCACUCUUGUCCCCAGCUCUGGAAGACCCAAUUCCUGAUGCUCUGCUGAGCAGCCAGCCAGUUAGCAGCCAGAAAAGUCAUUCCUUACAGCAGGUGGAUUUGACAGGUUGGGCUGGCUAGAGGGGAGUGUUGUCCUUCUGCAUCUCCAGUUUGGUGCAGCUCUUUCUGCUCCCAGUGACUUUAAGUUUGCUGAUAAAUGAAAUUAGACAUUGAAAGAUGAAAGAAACAAUGGGCGAGAAAAACCCCUAAAUUCCAUAAGAAUUAAAAAUUAAAAGGGAGGGUUAUACAUUAGAGGGAAAUCUUUGGGAUCAGGUGUUCUGGGAAGUCUGAACCUCUCAAGUACCUCAGCUAAUGGGGAAAGAGAGAAGGGAAAUGUGGGAAAUUGGGAUAAAAAGGAAGGCUGAGUCCUGUGGUGGUGUUUGAGGUUCCCCAGGAUGAGGGAAGAGAUGAGAAUUUGACUCCAUGUUUCAGAAGGCUGAUUUAUUAUUUUAUGAUA